Oncorhynchus keta (chum salmon) is the source of this 510-nucleotide long non-coding RNA. RefSeq lists it as uncharacterized. The transcript is spliced from 2 exons. Lineage: Eukaryota; Metazoa; Chordata; Actinopteri; Salmoniformes; Salmonidae. The record is from RefSeq and is a predicted model, not a curated record.
CUUUAGUGCCUAUGCUAGAAGGCGUCUUCUUCCCAGAUGGCUUUUGUUAAUAAACCUGACGCUCGGUCUAAACGUGAACACGCAUCGCUUGCCGGUGUGGUUUUUCAAAACAUAAAAGGAACAUAUCUUUCAUAUCAGCGAGAAAUAUAUAUUUUUUAACUAAAUGUUCAAUUACUACACAACUUUAUAGGGCUAGUGUUCCCACACGGCCAUAUCUCCAUGUUACGGCAUAUGCUUACGGAAGACCGACAGAAGAGAGGCGAACACCUGUGUGCUAAUGAGCUAUAGCAUGCACCUGACACAUGUGUGUUUAACGGAAGAAUGACACCAGAAACGUGUUGGAAUAGAAAAAUACAGUCGGCUGCAACUGUGAUGAAUCCGGUUAAAACAAUCACCCAGAAGUGCUAUCUGCAGAGUUCGCUCCAGGAAAAGGUCCAGGUCUUCAACCAUUCCUGGACCUGUGACCAAAAACGAGCUACCUAUAUAAAAUAAAUGAACUAAUGACUCUGA